RNAcentral lists this transfer RNA (63 nucleotides) under Ixodes trichosuri. RNAcentral's name for it is "tRNA-Glu". Lineage: Eukaryota; Metazoa; Arthropoda; Arachnida; Ixodida; Ixodidae. The record is from RNAcentral.
UUUUUUAUAGUGUAAACAACACAUAACAUUUUCAUUGUUAAAAUGAUUUUAAAUCUAAAAAAA